Molecule: long non-coding RNA, 1747 nt
Filed under: Gossypium barbadense (sea-island cotton)
Lineage: Eukaryota; Viridiplantae; Streptophyta; Magnoliopsida; Malvales; Malvaceae
Description: long non-coding RNA (GBAR_LNC007740)
Source: RNAcentral
GUUUUUUUUUGGCAAUUUUUGAUGAGUUUUUGAGAAACUCGACCCCAAAUUUGGGUUCUAGGAGCUGAAAGGCCAAAAAAGGGGAUGUUUUUGUAUUUUUCGGCCAUCGGAAACGACAGAGCCCAUCGCCAAAGACCUGUGGCCGCCUCAAGAACUCGCCGGACCUCAAGGCUGGACAAGGGACAACUUAGGAGAAAAAAAGGGCUUUCGAACUUUUUUUUUUAAUGAAGGCAGAAAUGAUUUUUUAAAAGUUUCUUUUGGCUUAAAUAGGCUAUACUAAAUGGCACCGUUUGGGACCAAUGUUCAUAGAUGACAAACGACGUCGUUUUGAAGUCGACCCGCCAACCCGACCUGACCCUAGUAGGAUCCGCGUGUUUUUUUUAAAGGGGGUCUAUUUAUGCUUGUAGCUCUUCUGCCUUUGAAUCUUUUUAAUAUGAUCCUGAUUCCUUUUUUAUUUUUUUUAGAUCGCACCAUUUAGUUUUAAAUUAUUUUCAAUUUAGUCCUCCGAUUUGCCAAAAGAAUGGAGCGUCUAAUGGGCCUGGGAAUAAUUUCCCAGCUGGUCUCUGCUCCUUUUUGCGUAUCACAUUUUAGCCCAAUUUAUUAUUUAUUUUAUCUCGAUUUAUCCUUUUAAUUUCAUUUAAGUUACGAUUAAGUCCUUUGAUUUAUUUUAAUUCUUUUAUCCAUUUAUUUACUUAUUUACUUAUUUAUUAUUCCUUCACUUUUUUAAUAUUUAAAAUUGUUUUUUUUAUUUUCUUUUAUUGAGCAUUUAUUUUUUUCUUUUUUCUGUGCCUUUUUUAUUAUUAUUAUUAUUAUUAUCUAUUUAUCUAUUGAUUUAUUACUCCUUUAUUUUUUAUACAUACUUAAGAAUUAUAUUGUAUACAUGCUGUAAACGGACCAAUUUGCCCGGGUCCACAUCAAGACCAAAUAAAGAAUAAAUAAAAAUAAGAAUAAAAAAACAACAAUUAAUUAAAUGUCCAUUUACAGUUCAAAGCCCAAAAUUAUUACAGUGACCCAAUACCCAAAUUACUACCCAAAUCCAAACGGCCCAAAGGCAAUGGCCCAAUACCCAAAAUGAGCCCAAACGACCCAAAACUUUGGUCAUCAGAAACCCUAGGGCUCUCUCCCUCGUGCCGCAGCCAAGCCUCAGCCCUCGCACCGUACGACGCGCCAGCUACCUCCGUACGCCUCAGCAGCACCACGCCCACGCCUCCGUACGCCAGCACAGCCCCGUACACGCGCUACGCACCCUGUACCUGCAAAAAAGGACGAACGCGCAGCAAAACAAACAAAAAAAAAACAACAAAGAAUAUUGUAUUCUGAUUUAUUUUUCUAUCAUUUUACCCCUUCGGCUGUAAAGCCAAGGGAUUUCAUCAGUUGUAAGGUUACGCACACCAAGAGAAAGCAAUACAGACGCAAUACACAUAGAUUGAAAAAAAAAAGUAAUUUCUUAAGAAGGUGAUCUCCAUUUUCGGCUCUAUUUUUUAUUUCCUCCGAUUUUUCAUCAUUUACAUUCAAAAAAAAAAGAAAGAAAAAUGGCACUUACUUUGAGUUUAGGCCGUCGAUUCCCUUUCACUUCGUCGAAAUCGAAGUUCAGAGGGAAGUCGGUGACUGAAAGGAGCCAUGCUUCGAAGCCUGUGAGCGCCGGUCACCGUACCUUGCGGUGGGCUGGUGUCUUUGAAGAGAAAAUAUAGGUUGCGGCUAAAAAAAGGAAAUGAGGCUAGGGUUUGGCCGAAUAGGCUAAAAUAAG